This 253-nucleotide ribosomal RNA is filed under the name uncultured bacterium. RNAcentral's name for it is "partial 16S ribosomal RNA". It matches the Rfam family "Bacterial small subunit ribosomal RNA", at positions 524 to 776 of the family's 1533-position model. The record is from RNAcentral.
UACGGAGGGCGCAAGCGUUGUUCGGAAUUACUGGGCGUAAAGCGCAUGUAGGCGGCCUGGAAAGUCGGGUGUGAAAUCCCGGAGCUCAACUUCGGAACUGCAUCCGAUACUGCCAGGCUCGAGUCUCGGAGAGGAUGGCGGAAUUUCAGGUGUAAAGGUGAAAUUCGUAGAUAUCGGAAGGAACACCAGUGGCGAAGGCGGCCGUCUGGACGAUGACUGACGCUGAGAUGCGAAAGCGUGGGGAGCAAACAGG